GAUGAAGAACGCAGCGAAAUGUGAUACUUGGUGUGAAUUGCAGAAUCCCGUGAACCAUCGAGUCUUUGAACGCAAGUUGCGCCCGAAGCCAUUAGGCCGAGGGCACGCCUGCCUGGGCGUCUCACGUCGUUGCCCCCCCAUCUACUCCUUCGGGAUUGCGGGGGGCGGAUGAUGGCCUCCCGUGCGCCUCGCCGCGCGGUUGGCAUAAAUGCCAAGUCCUCGGCGACGCACGCCACGACAAUCGGUGGUUGCGAAACCUCGGUUGCCCGUCGUGUGCGGUCGUCGCGCAUCGAGGGCUCGAAAAAAUUGCCGGGUUCCGGCUCGGCUUUCAACGCGACCCCAGGUCAGGCGGGGUUACCCGCUGAAUUUAAGCAUAUCAAUAAGCGGAGGA
RNAcentral lists this unclassified non-coding RNA (391 nucleotides) under soil metagenome. Its description in RNAcentral is "partial contains 5.8S ribosomal RNA, internal transcribed spacer 2, and large subunit ribosomal RNA". The stretch from base 1 to 122 matches the Rfam family "5.8S ribosomal RNA", at positions 35 to 154 of the family's 154-position model. The record is from RNAcentral.